This 301-nucleotide ribosomal RNA is filed under the name uncultured bacterium. Its description in RNAcentral is "partial 16S ribosomal RNA". It matches the Rfam family "Bacterial small subunit ribosomal RNA", at positions 509 to 807 of the family's 1533-position model. The record is from RNAcentral.
CAGUAGCCGCGGUAAAACGAAGGGGGCUAGCGUUGUUCGGAAUUGCUGGGCGUAAAGGGCGCGUAGGCGGCCAUUCAAGUUAGAUGUGAAAGCCCUGGGCUCAACCUAGGAAUUGCAUUUGAUACUGUUUGGCUUGAGUUCGGGAGAGGUGAGUGGAAUUCCCAGUGUAGAGGUGAAAUGCGUAGAUAUCUGGAGGAACACCCGUGGCGAAAGCGGCUCACUGGACAAUAACUGACGCUGAUGCACGAAAGCUAGGGGAGCAAACAGGAUUAGAUACCCGCGUAGUCCCUGUCUCUUAUAC